This 251-nucleotide long non-coding RNA is filed under the name Solanum pimpinellifolium. Its description in RNAcentral is "long non-coding RNA (SPIM_LNC000240)". The record is from RNAcentral. Lineage: Eukaryota; Viridiplantae; Streptophyta; Magnoliopsida; Solanales; Solanaceae.
UCUAAUUCUCUGCUUAGUGACUCGAUCUCUCUUUCUUUUGAAGCUUGUGCAAAGCAGUAAGCAGAAGUUUUUCAAGGUUACUCUUGGCCGAAUCUAACUCCAUUUUCUUAUCAGCAGACCAACUCUGUUCAAGAGCAAAUUGGCUGGGCAGGCAAAAGAACUUGUUGUCCGUCAGGCAGGAGCGCAGGAUGAGCUCACGCUCGAGAAAUUCGUAGACGCCGUCAGGUAUCUUGCAGACGUGGACGAGUUGC